This 630-nucleotide ribosomal RNA is filed under the name Scheffersomyces sp. YW36.1. RNAcentral's name for it is "eukaryotic LSU rRNA". It matches the Rfam family "Eukaryotic large subunit ribosomal RNA", at positions 1 to 648 of the family's 3401-position model. Lineage: Eukaryota; Fungi; Ascomycota; Pichiomycetes; Serinales; Debaryomycetaceae. The record is from RNAcentral. RNAcentral also lists the same sequence under 9 other names.
UUGACCUCAAAUCAGGUAGGAUUACCCGCUGAACUUAAGCAUAUCAAUAAGCGGAGGAAAAGAAACCAACAGGGAUUGCCUUAGUAACGGCGAGUGAAGCGGCAAAAGCUCAAAUUUGAAAUCUGGCACCUUCGGUGUCCGAGUUGUAAUUUGAAGAAGGUAACUUUGGAGUCAGCUCUUGUCUAUGUUCCUUGGAACAGGACGUCACAGAGGGUGAGAAUCCCGUGCGAUGAGAUGUCUGAUUCUAUGUAAAGUGCUUUCGAAGAGUCGAGUUGUUUGGGAAUGCAGCUCUAAGUGGGUGGUAAAUUCCAUCUAAAGCUAAAUAUUGGCGAGAGACCGAUAGCGAACAAGUACAGUGAUGGAAAGAUGAAAAGAACUUUGAAAAGAGAGUGAAAAAGUACGUGAAAUUGUUGAAAGGGAAGGGUUUGUGAUCAGACUUGGUAUUUUGUAUGUCUUGCUUUCGGGUGGGGCCUCUACAGUUUACUGGGCCAGCAUCGGUUUGGACGGUAGGAUAAUGACAUUGGAAUGUGGCACCACUUCGGUGGUGUGUUAUAGACUUUGUUGAUACUGCCUGUCUAGACCGAGGACUGCGUCUUUGACUAGGAUGCUGGCAUAAUGAUCUUAAACCGC